RNAcentral lists this ribosomal RNA (496 nucleotides) under uncultured bacterium. RNAcentral's name for it is "partial 16S ribosomal RNA". It matches the Rfam family "Bacterial small subunit ribosomal RNA", at positions 28 to 506 of the family's 1533-position model. The record is from RNAcentral.
GAUGAACGCUGGCGGCGUGCCUAAUACAUGCAAGUCGAGCGAACAGACGAGGAGCUUGCUCCUCUGACGUUAGCGGCGGACGGGUGAGUAACACGUGGAUAACCUACCUAUAAGACUGGGAUAACUUCGGGAAACCGGAGCUAAUACCGGAUAAUAUAUUGAACCGCAUGGUUCAAUAGUGAAAGACGGCUUUGCUGUCACUUAUAGAUGGAUCCGCGCCGCAUUAGCUAGUUGGUAAGGUAACGGCUUACCAAGGCAACGAUGCGUAGCCGACCUGAGAGGGUGAUCGGCCACACUGGAACUGAGACACGGUCCAGACUCCGACGGGAGGCAGCAGUAGGGAAUCUUCCGCAAUGGGCGAAAGCUUGACGGAGCAACGCCGCGUGAGUGAUGAAGGUCUUCGGAUCGUAAAACUCUGUUAUUAGGGAAGAACAAAUGUGUAAGUAACUAUGCACGUCUUGACGGUACCUAAUCAGAAAGCCACGGCUAACUACGU